UGCGUGAAUGGAUGUGACUGGG
RNAcentral lists this microRNA (22 nucleotides) under Macaca fascicularis (crab-eating macaque). RNAcentral's name for it is "novel_miR55-5p". The record is from RNAcentral. Lineage: Eukaryota; Metazoa; Chordata; Mammalia; Primates; Cercopithecidae.